UAUGUGAUCGUCUCUCGCAUAUCAAUAAGCGGAGGAAAAGAAAGCUAACAAGGAUUCCCCUAGUAACGGCGAGUGAAGCGGGAAGGGCUCAAAUUUGAAAUCUUAAAGGGUUUCCCUUUACGAAUUGUAGUUUAAAGAAGUGUUUUCUGUUGAGGUUUUGGUAAAAGUUCUUUGGAAUAGGACAUCAUAGAGGGUGAGAAUCCCGUAUUUGACCUUUACUUUCAACUUUGUGAUACACUUUCAAAGAGUCGGAUUGUUUGGGAAUGCAGUCCAAAAUGGGUGGUAAAUUUCAUCUAAAGCUAAAUAUUGGCGAGAGACCGAUAGCGAACAAGUACCGUGAGGGAAAGAUGAAAAGAACUUUGAAAAGAGAGUUAAACAGUACGUGAAAUUGUCAAAAGGGAAGCGUUUGACACCAGUGUUGUUUUUCUGAAAAUCAAUUAAAGAACUGUUUAUGCUAAGUUGUUUAGACUUUAUCAGCUAACUGUUUAGUUUUGAGCUUUUCUUUAAUGCACUUUUCAGUUAACAAGUCAACAUCAAUUUCUUUUGCUGUAAAAAAGCUUGAGGAAGGUGGCUUGAGAUUCGUCUUAAGUGUUUAUAGCCUCUUGCCUAUGCAGUCGGAGAGAUUGAGGUCUGCAGCGUAGAUCCUUCGGGGCUAAAUGCAUUUGUGCUAAGUUAUAGCAUUUUAUAGACAACUUGUUGACUAUGAUUUGUCUUGUAGCUUACUCGCUUAUGUUAUUUUACCUACGCUUAGGAUGUUGACACACGCGCGUGCUCG
Molecule: ribosomal RNA, 775 nt
Filed under: uncultured Neocallimastigales
Lineage: Eukaryota; Fungi; Neocallimastigomycota; Neocallimastigomycetes; Neocallimastigales
Description: partial large subunit ribosomal RNA
Rfam family: Eukaryotic large subunit ribosomal RNA
Source: RNAcentral